UCAAACUCUUCUGACCAAUCAGAUCCCAGGAUUAAGCAGCACUGUGGUGUUAUAUAGAGAGACGUUUAUUCUGGGUUUUCUGGCUGAUGCACUGAAAUCUGUCCUCAGAUGCCAUUGAUUCAGUUUUGACUUAAAGAGGUUAACGAGCUGGAAUAACUUUACGUUAUUAGGAAAAUGUGGGAGAUAAGCAGGAAAUGGGAGCUGAUUGGCGUUAAGAAUUUAAAUCCGUUUUAAUAGCUUAAAAAAUAGAUUGUACCCCAAAUCACUGGAGGAUGUUUUGAAAUAGAUUUAGAUAAUUCAGUCUCCGGAGACACUUUAAAGUUUCAACUCAGGCCCAUCAUUUACCUUUGACCUUUGACCCCUGGAGUGCUUCAAAUGGAGAUCAUCAAUUUGGACUGAAAAUCGCCCCCAGGCUCGACCGACUGAACUCAUCAUCUUUACUAACAUGAAACUCUUCGUAUUUAUUUAAAUACAAACAUUGGGCUUUCAGUGUUUCCUGAAUGACACUGAGAACAAAUUCCCACAUUUAUAUUAAAUUAAAACAAUUUCUACAAACUUUAUUACUGAACAGAAACCUAACAGUGGCUUUAAGCUUUAGCUCCAUCUGCAGAGGAACAGAAAUCAGACUGGAUCACAAGUCACAAAACAUCUCACAUCCAGCUUCUUAUGAGAGCGUCUGAUCCCGAAGGUUCUCCUGAACAUAGACAUGAACUGGAGCUCAGCCAAGCCAGAGGAGAUAAGUCUGCAUGGAUCCUGGUCUCGAUUAGAAGCAGCCUUUCUACUAGUCGCUAAGCUUAACAAGAAGCACGCCGAGCCUCUGGGCAUCCACACGUCUGAUCAACAUCAGAAAAGAAGGAAAGAAAAGAGACUUCAUCAGUAGCUGAAAGAGUAAAAGGUUCCUUUUAAAGACAACAUCAAAAGUGGACUUUAUCGUUUUUCUCACUAAACUCACUUUGCAUACGUGUAAAAUCCAACAUCUGCUGAUCAGACAGGAGACUUUUAUUAAAGUAAAGGAUUUAUUUUAAACAGCUUGCCAAGUUAAUGUUAAGUUUAGCAUUGAGUUCAAUCUGCUGACCGAAGCAUGAGC
This is a long non-coding RNA of Tachysurus fulvidraco (yellow catfish), 1087 nucleotides long. RefSeq lists it as uncharacterized. NCBI's taxonomy places the organism in Eukaryota, Metazoa, Chordata, Actinopteri, Siluriformes, Bagridae. The record is from RefSeq and is a predicted model, not a curated record. The transcript is spliced from 2 exons.